CAGAGCCACGUUUAGGUUCUGAAGGCUGGGCUGGUAGAUUGGGGGUUGUCAGGCCAAGGCUAGGAGAUGGGAUCAGGGCAAGGAAGCGGGGUGGGUCUGGAGACUGAAUCUAGCACCUGUCCAGUACCUGUGUGUUGGGUUAGCCUUAGCAUGGUUGCCCCCUUCCCCUGCAGGGCCAGGUGUGGGUCAUGCCAGCCCUCUUCCUCCUCUCCUUGGGGCUGGGACAGUGCAUGCCUGUCUCUGGAUGUGGCUGGAGUCAGGCUCCUAGGACCAGGGCAGGGUCUCAUUAGCCCAGAGCAGGCCUUGGGUGGGCAGAUGGACCUGAUGAAUGGUUAACUGUUGCGCUGGGCAGCCACAGCUUGCAUCCCACCCCACUCUGGCCACUCUGCAGUCCCUG
Molecule: long non-coding RNA, 397 nt
Filed under: Homo sapiens (human)
Lineage: Eukaryota; Metazoa; Chordata; Mammalia; Primates; Hominidae
Description: non-protein coding lnc-SLC3A2-4:1
Source: RNAcentral